Molecule: ribosomal RNA, 477 nt
Filed under: uncultured organism
Description: partial 16S ribosomal RNA
Rfam family: Bacterial small subunit ribosomal RNA
Source: RNAcentral
CGUACACUCCUGCGGGAGGCAGCAGUGGGGAAUAUUGCACAAUGGGCGCAAGCCUGAUGCAGCCAUGCCGCGUGUAUGAAGAAGGCCUUCGGGUUGUAAAGUACUUUAAGCGGGGAGGAAGGCAAUACGGUUAAUAACCGUGUUGAUUGACGUUACCCGCAGAAGAAGCACCGGCUAACUCCGUGCCAGCAGCCGCGGUAAUACGGAGGGUGCAAGCGUUACUCGGAAUUACUGAGCGUAAAGCGCACGCAGGCGGUCUGUCAAGUCGGAUGUGAAAUCCCCGGGCUCAACCUGGGAACUGCAUUCGAAACUGGCAGGCUUGAGUCUUGUAGAGGGGGGUAUAAUUCCAGGUGUAGCGGUGAAAUGCGUAGAGAUCUGGAGGAAUACCGGUGGCGAAGGCGGCCCCCUGGACAAAGACUGACGCUCAGGUGCGAAAGCGUGGGGAGCAAACAGGAGUAGAAUCCCUUGUAGUCCCAU